ACAGGGUGUUCUGGCGUGCCCCUGUAAUCCAGCUACUUGGAAGUCGGAUUCAGAGGAUGGUUUGAGGACGGGGUUCACAGCGGCUGGAUUGUUACACGUUGACCGGGUGUCCGCACUAAGCUGGUCAUCAACAUGGUGUACUUAAGGGAACUCAAAGUGCUCCAGGUUCGCUAAGGAGGGGCGAAUCAGGCCAGGGAGGAAAUAAAAAUUAGUAAAAAAAAAAAAAGCAUGUCAACGUAACGAUGCAUUCCUAAAAUUCAAACCGGUUGCCGUCUAAUAUAGGCGGCAUCAU
This 292-nucleotide signal recognition particle RNA is filed under the name Rhodnius prolixus. RNAcentral describes it as "metazoan signal recognition particle RNA". It matches the Rfam family "Metazoan signal recognition particle RNA", at positions 1 to 214 of the family's 299-position model. Rfam says of the family: The signal recognition particle (SRP) is a universally conserved ribonucleoprotein. It is involved in the co-translational targeting of proteins to membranes. The eukaryotic SRP consists of a 300-nucleotide 7S RNA and six proteins: SRPs 72, 68, 54, 19, 14, and 9. The record is from RNAcentral. Lineage: Eukaryota; Metazoa; Arthropoda; Insecta; Hemiptera; Reduviidae.